GGAAGUCUAACCUACAAAUACGAGGAACACAACAUGAGAACUAAUGUAACAGUGGGAGGGAAGAGUCUGACAAGUGUCUGAGUGGGAGGCCGAAAGAAACAAACCUGCACAGUAAAUGGGCGUGGAGGUUUCGCAGAGUUUCAUUUCAAGCUCUCCUUCCCAUCAUUCAACAACUUAUAUGGCUCUGGGAUUCCACAGAUUCAGAAGCUGUUGUCUAAUACGGUCACAGGAGUGUUUGGACGACCGCAUGUGGGAAUUUAAACUUUUAUGAUUUUAAGGAGGACGUUUCAGAUUGCACCUGUCACUGGAAUCUUCCAGAGGAGACAAGAAGAAAAUCCACCUGCCGACCAUCUCACUGUUACUUUAAAAUCACUCUCAUAACAGAGUGGACAGAGUUUGCUUCACUGAACAAGUCAGCUCACAUUGAUCAGAAAUGUCAAACUCACCUCAGACGCGUGUAGUGAUGGAAGAAGAGGUCCCGUUGAAUACCGUACCAGGAACAGGCGACGCACAGAAUAAUGACACUUGUGAUGAAGUAGUAACCAGCAGCCCCGGACAGGACGCUGCUCUCUUCUGCACAGACAAGCAUCACAGGAAACUGGCCAUCUGCAGCAUCAUCUGUGGGCUCUCCUGCAUCGGAGUCAAAGCUCUGAUAUACUCAGUCAAGGCCGAGAUGUCGAAUGAUCCAGUGGCAGUUCAGAAGUUUUCACAAAAGGCGAGAAAAUUCAGCAUCAUCUCCAUCGUGACUUGGGUCUUCAUUCUGGCAUCAUUUCCCUUGUUAAUGGGACUGAUCUCAUAUCUUCUCACUUUGCUAGACUGAUCAACGUGUGCAGAAAAGAACCAGUGGAGUGGCUCUUCUGACUUGGGAUGUUAAUGGAGACAGACAGUUGACAGUACAAAGCUGCUUAUCAACAAACUGGAAGUUACAUGGACAUAAAAAAGACUGCAGUAGUCUUUCUUGUGCUGACUGCGGUCCCAAUUUAGGUUUAGAAUCUUUUACACAAGGAACAAUCACCCUAGAACGUAUUAAAAUUCUGGCAACUUUUACAUGUUUUUAUAUGCUGUAAUAUUUAUUCAACAAUAUAUGAACAUAUGGACAUUACCAAAUUUAAAUGAACAUAUAAAAUCCAGCAUUGCCUAUCGUUUUAAACAUGACACUACAUGACACAUAUACAUUAUAUAUUAAAGAUCAGGCCUGUCAUCCUCCAGAAAUGACCCAAUCCUUAAUAUUUCUUACAGUUUAACAUACUGUCAUUCUUAGUUACUGUAUGUACUUGCAGAUACUACAAAAGUUAAUAAAUUAGUCAAUCUGUAAAUCUCUACUGUAACAACAUACAUGUAUUUAUAAAGGAUUGGGUCUGUGCUGGAAAUAAAAUGGCAUGGCAGUGACGGUGGCAGUGCUUCACCAGGACGUUACAAGAAGCUGCUCUUGUUGCGCCAACAUUAUCUUGGCAUUAUUGCAUUGUUACCGUAUUAGCUUUAUUAUUGUCAAAUGUAUCUGUAUGUUGUACUUUUAUACAAACAUAUAAACAGACGAUUUUAUAAUAAAAUGACAAAGAAAAGC
This is a long non-coding RNA of Amphiprion ocellaris (clown anemonefish), 1564 nucleotides long. RefSeq lists it as uncharacterized. The record is from RefSeq and is a predicted model, not a curated record. NCBI's taxonomy places the organism in Eukaryota, Metazoa, Chordata, Actinopteri, Pomacentridae. The transcript is spliced from 3 exons.